This 839-nucleotide long non-coding RNA is filed under the name Phoenix dactylifera (date palm). Its description in RNAcentral is "long non-coding RNA (PDAC_LNC016601)". Lineage: Eukaryota; Viridiplantae; Streptophyta; Magnoliopsida; Arecales; Arecaceae. The record is from RNAcentral.
CUCCGAUGCUUAAGUCAAAGGGGGGCAAUCUGUGUUUAAAGGAGAAAGAGGAGAAUAGUGUCUCUUGAGUUUUCUGUGUCCAACCCCCCUUUGAGAAGCAAGGGUUCCCUUUUAUAGGGGGGUCGGUUUACCUGCGAUGUGAUGGAGCGAGACCGUCGUACGGCUCGGCAUGUUGCUUGGACUGGCACACGAUCAGGUGAAUCAUUACAUUGAUGUCGGAGAUGAAGCCGUCGUACGACCCGAGCUGGCACGUGAUCAGGUGAAUCAUUGCAUUGAUGUCGGAGGUAAUGCCGAGAUCAGAGACUUAUCACGGUUGACUGGACUCCGCUGAGCUGAUUUGCCGUGGAGAGCCGUGGGUCCGUAGAUAAUAGGGGCCAUGCGCAUUAAUUGUUGAGUAGGCCGGAGGUGCGCAUUAAUUGUUGAGUGGGCCGGAGAUUCGCAUUAAUUGUUGAGUGAACCGGGGGUUUGCAGAGGUCAUGCGCAAUAAAUGCUGGGACAGUGGCAGGAUAUGGCCCUCGGCCGGACCUCGGAGGGGUACGACCGUAGUAGGUGGUCGACAAGGACAGACCUCUGGGGUCGGAAAUUCUCCAGGUCGGAGGUUCUGAGGUCGGACGUUCCGAGGUCGGACGCCGACCUCAGUCGUCCAAGGUCGGCGGCUAUGCGGCUUCUUAGGGGCGGGGUUACUAUAUUGCUGGGGGAAAACCGUAUUCCCCCAACACAAACCUAAAUAGAAUAAGUAUAUACUAAACAUGAAUAGAUGAAUUGUUAUGCAACAUUAAUAUAUACAAAAAUUUUAUACUUUACAUAAUCAAAAUAUAUGCUAUAGUCAAAAACCAUUA